GCCGUCUUAGCUCAGUUGGUUAGAGCGCGACACUAGUAUAAUGCGUUUCCACGCAUCUCUGGCAUGUCGAGGUCUCCAGUUCAACUCUGGAAGAUGGCA
Hyaloraphidium curvatum is the source of this 99-nucleotide non-coding RNA. The record is from the annotation of a GenBank genome assembly. Lineage: Eukaryota; Fungi; Monoblepharomycota; Hyaloraphidiomycetes; Hyaloraphidiales; Hyaloraphidiaceae.